CUUAUCCACUCAUCUUCCUCCCUACGCUCAUUCUCUCCAUUCCCCCAUCUUCUCCGAUCCGGUCCACCUCCCCACCGCCGUCUCCGCGCGCCGGCUCCGCCCUCUCCUAUCCUUGCCGCUGCGGGCGUCUCAUAGCGCGCCGGCUCUGGCCAAUCCUAUUUGCGCCGGUGGUGGAUGCAGCGCGGCCACCUCGAAGCGGAGUCCUGGAGGCGCGGGCGGCGGAGGGUGACUGGAGAUGAUGUGGACGGCGGUGGGUGACAUGAGUUGUCGCGGACAACGGGACGAGGAGAAGUCUUGGCCGGCGACGGACUCGCGAGACCGCUCCUCUGACGACGUAGCGAAGGGCGAGGGGGACAGCAGACGGGCGGGAGGAGCCUGUCAAGGGCACGGCAAGGUGAGGUCCUGGCCAGCGACGGACUCACCGAGCCACUCCUCUGACGACGGAGGGGAGGUCGGGGGAGGAGGGCGCCUGGAGGCCGUUGGCGUCUACAUCGUCGUCAUCCGUGACGGCGGCGGCGUCGACGCUUGUGGCCGUGGUCGCCUCAGUUGCGCCGUCCUCCGUGCAAGGAGGUCCAGACCGACCAGCCGCCGGCGCGCUUCAUGAUGCAGGCGUCGGCAAGCUCGAACGUCUCGCUGACCCUGGCGCCUCCUUCAGCGGCGCCAGAAUCCCCUGGAGCGCGACGGCACUGGCCUCCACUCUGGCAGCGGCCGCUGCCCCUACAAGGGCUAGGUCCUGGCGUAGCACCAGCAGAUGCGCCUCCUGCACGAGGAUGUUGCAGGCUAUAGAGAAAAGGCCCGUAGGGGCGACGGGAAGGAGCAUUCGGGCUGGGAGGCCUCUCCUCCCGAAAGAUUUCGUUCGUAGCGUGCAGCCUGUCGCACCAAACUUCGUAGUGCGGUCUGGAAGGCCCCCAGACCGAACGUUUGGUCCUUAUCGACGUCCAAUAACAUUGAUCGACGGGUUAGACUCGUUUAAGCACGUUUAUGACAAGUGGGUCCUUCUUUU
Molecule: long non-coding RNA, 1003 nt
Organism: Triticum aestivum (bread wheat)
Lineage: Eukaryota; Viridiplantae; Streptophyta; Magnoliopsida; Poales; Poaceae
Exons: 2
Source: RefSeq, a predicted model, not a curated record